This 523-nucleotide ribosomal RNA is filed under the name uncultured cyanobacterium. RNAcentral describes it as "bacterial SSU rRNA". It matches the Rfam family "Bacterial small subunit ribosomal RNA", at positions 379 to 917 of the family's 1533-position model. Lineage: Bacteria; Bacillati; Cyanobacteriota. The record is from RNAcentral.
GAAGCUGACGGAGCACGCCGCGUGAGGGAUGGAGGCCUUUGGGCUGUAAACCUCUUUUCUCAAGGAAGAAGACCUGACGGUACUUGAGGAAUAAGCCACGGCUAAUUCCGUGCCAGCAGCCGCGGUAAUACGGGAGUGGCAAGCGUUAUCCGGAAUUAUUGGGCGUAAAGCGUCCGCAGGCGGCCGUUUAAGUCUGUUGUUAAAUCGUGGAGCUCAACUCCAUCACGGCAAUGGAAACUGUUCGGCUUGAGUAUGGUAGGGGCAGAGGGAAUUUCCGGUGUAGCGGUGAAAUGCGUAGAUAUCGGGAAGAACACCAGUGGCGAAAGCGCUCUGCUGGACCAUUACUGACGCUCAUGGACGAAAGCCAGGGGAGCGAAAGGGAUUAGAUACCCCUGUAGUCCUGGCCGUAAACGAUGAACACUAGAUGUUGGGGGAAUCGACCCCCUCGGUGUCGUAGCUAACGCGUUAAGUGUUCCGCCUGGGGAGUACGCACGCAAGUGUGAAACUCAAAGGAAUUGACGGA